GGGGUGGGGUGCGGGGCCGGGGAGGAUUCGAGGUGUGGGACAGGGCGAGGACUAUUAGCGGCCGUAUUAAUAUCGCCGUUAUUGCUAUGCGAGGCGCUGCCGCUGUCGCCACGGGCGAUUUAUGCCUCUCCCCGCUCCCACACGCUGCCGAAAGCAGAAACUCGCCAAGAUGCGUCCUGGGGAAAGUCCGUGACGAGGAGGGGCCGAAGAGUGGGAGGAAGGCAGGGCAAAGAAUUGAGCAGAGCCAGACAAGCAGUGACCACAAAGGCUCUCAGGACUCCGCAGGAAGGGGGGGGCACCUUUAGGCGAAUAAGUACGGACAGAAAAAAAAGCCCAAGGUGUCCAAGUGAACAUCUGACUUUUGAGAGGAUUUAUGCUGGGCUGGACAGACAAGCUUUCUAAGUGAUGGACAAAGUCUUAUCCCACGGACUACGGUGUUUCCAGCUAUUGUUCUGCCUUCAGACCCCAGAAUGGGGGCUUUCGACGGGGGAUGUGACUACUGAGAUUCUCCCCCCCCCCCCACCCCCCCACCCCAACCCCCCAUCUGACUACGAUCUGCUCAAAAACAUCAUUUCUACUGCAAGUCUGUUAUUAGUUUGGAGCCCCGGCGCUGAGAUUCCAGGCAAGGAAAGAGGAGAAACUACAGCGGACUUUUCUUUAAGGACUUCUCUGUAGGUGAAGUACUGGGUAGGUUUCUGAAUAUGGACCUCCACUGACUUCUGACAAGCAGAAGUACCUCGGGCUCUGCAAGUAACUCUUCCGAAGUGCAACAUAUUACUUUAACUUUAAACUGGCAGCCGAAAAACCAACGCAUUCAGCAGGUCGUUGCACCUAUACAAGUUGGGCUGCUGCAAGCAGUUUUUGGGCUCCCCGUAUAUUACCAUCUCUACUUGGGAUGCUGCUGAUUUUUUUGCCUUUUAAAUGCGGAUCCCUCGCACCAAAUCAGCAGCAAAUGUUGCAACCCGAGCGGGUUUCCCUUCAAAGGGAGCUCAGGAAAUCUCUUCCAUUUAAAACACUCCCUGGAAGUUACGGCCAUAAAUCACAAAGUUUCGAGACAAGGCGGUAGCGAAAUGGAAAAGGAAAAUACUCUGCUGUAUAAUCCAGGGCAGCCGGGUUUGGUGGGGAAACAGUAAAUAAAGAGAGGAAUAAAGUCACGUUGGGUGAUUUUUUUUGGAGGAGGAAUGGCUCCGAGUGAAUGGGGAGGAGGGAGGAGGGCGCAGGGAAGGGGAGCAGGUAGGAGACAGAGCAAAACUCACCGGUUCCCGGAUGUGUGGUCCAGCAAACACGGGGCUGCGGUGGAGUUUGAGAAAGGAGAAGAACUGAAUCCGGGACCCGACGGGCGCUGUUGGACGGUCUGAGCAUGGGGGAGAAAGGACCUGGUUCGCUCCCACAUCCUUUUUCCAACGCCCCAGAGACGGCCCUCAUGGUUUGGGUGGUUUCUUCCAAAGUGAGAGGUCUGGGGGAGGGGGGACUUGGGUGAGGGUUUGGGUUUUCUCCCCCAAAUAUAAAGCUUUCACCUUUACGAUCCAGAUUUUAUUAUUAGUAUUAUUAUUUCCCCUGAAGAUUCUGGUCGAACUCCGGGUGCUUUUUCCCCAACAGACGGUCUGCGGAGAUUUGCUGUUGAAUAACAAUGGGAAAAGGAUAAGUAUUUAAAGAAAAGAAGUGAUUAAUGAUUUUCUGUAUAAUUCUCGCAUUUUUCUUGGCUUCUGUCUGCUUAUAAUGGCUGUGAACUUUU
Molecule: long non-coding RNA, 1735 nt
Filed under: Gallus gallus (chicken)
Lineage: Eukaryota; Metazoa; Chordata; Aves; Galliformes; Phasianidae
Source: RNAcentral